Molecule: ribosomal RNA, 250 nt
Filed under: uncultured bacterium
Lineage: Bacteria
Description: partial 16S ribosomal RNA
Rfam family: Bacterial small subunit ribosomal RNA
Source: RNAcentral
UGGGGAAUUUUGGACAAUGGGCGCAAGCCUGAUCCAGCCAUGCCGCGUGCGGGAAGAAGGCCUUCGGGUUGUAAACCGCUUUUGUCAGGGAAGAAAAGCUUCAAGCUAAUAUCUUGGGGUGAUGACGGUACCUGAAGAAUAAGCACCGGCUAACUACGUGCCAGCAGCCGCGGUAAUACGUAGGGUGCAAGCGUUAAUCGGAAUUACUGGGCGUAAAGCGUGCGCAGGCGGUUGUGCAAGACAGGUGUGA